RNAcentral lists this microRNA (20 nucleotides) under Gallus gallus (chicken). RNAcentral's name for it is "gga-miR-1761". Lineage: Eukaryota; Metazoa; Chordata; Aves; Galliformes; Phasianidae. The record is from miRBase by way of RNAcentral.
CAGGGGUCACUUUUUUGUUU